GAUGAACGCUGGCGGCGUGCCUAAUACAUGCAAGUCGAGCGAACGGACGCGAAGCUUGCUUCUCUGAUGUUAUCGGCGGACGGGUGAGUAACACGUGUAUACCCUACCUAUAAGACUGGGAUAACUUCGGGAAACCGGAGCUAAUACCGGAUAAUAUUUUGAACCGCAUGGUUCAAAAGUGAAAGACGGUCUUGCUGUCACUUAUAGAUGGAUCCGCGCUGCAUUAGCUAGUUGGUAAGGUAACGGCUUACCAAGGCAACGAUGCAUAGCCGACCGGAGAGAGGGAUCGGCCGCACGGGAGCGGAGACGCGGUCCAUACUCCUACGGGAGGCAGCAGUAGGGAAUCUGCCGCAAUGGGCGAAAGCAUGACGGAGCAAGGCGGCGUGAGAGAUGGAGGUCUUCGGAUCGUGAAGCUCUGUUAUGAGGGAAGAACAUAUGUGGAAGGAGCUGUGCACAGCUUGACGGUACCUAGUCAGGAAGCCACGGCUAACUACGUG
RNAcentral lists this ribosomal RNA (497 nucleotides) under uncultured bacterium. RNAcentral's name for it is "partial 16S ribosomal RNA". It matches the Rfam family "Bacterial small subunit ribosomal RNA", at positions 28 to 507 of the family's 1533-position model. The record is from RNAcentral.